Molecule: long non-coding RNA, 670 nt
Organism: Mobula hypostoma (lesser devil ray)
Lineage: Eukaryota; Metazoa; Chordata; Chondrichthyes; Myliobatiformes; Myliobatidae
Exons: 3
Source: RefSeq, a predicted model, not a curated record
GUAUAAGCUUGCGUUUAAAAGAGCAAAACACACAAGUUGAAGGCAUGCUGCAACUACAUAAAGCACAGCCCGUCAAAGGAAAGGGGGUCACAUCAACCUGUGAAAUUCCGGAAGACUUGGGCGACUAUUCAGGCGAUGAAGAACGAUUAGAAAACCUGGAUGAAGAUGUUGGUUCUUCUUCAGCGCUUAUCACAUUUGUGAUCCUCUUUAUGAUGAGUAUGAUGUACAGCGCAUUUUCAACGACUAUUAAGGUAAAUUAGAGAAUGCUGACGCAGACGCAUUUCAGCUUUUGUUUGCAUGGACCCGAAGUCAAAUGAAGACAUCAAACUAAUGGUGACUGUCCUGAUGAAGGUCUCGGGCCGUAAAGUCGAUCGUUAUUCUGCUCCAUAGAUGCUGCCUGACCUGCUGAGCUCCUCCAGCAUUUUGCAUGUUGCUCUGAAUUUUCAGUGUCUGCAGAAUCUCUUGUGUAGAUAACAUCAGACUGCUACAUUUAUAAUAGCCUUGAUACUGUGUGUGUGAAUUUAUAGUUCUGUUUCUCUUUAUCCUAUCAGCUUGUUUCUGAUUUCUGCUGUGUCAGUGGCUGGUUUUGGUUGGAAUUUCACAGAACAAUUACAAAGCAAUGAAAUUGAAAAUGUAUUCCUCUGAAUAAUGUAAAAUAAACUGGGAUGAA